RNAcentral lists this transfer RNA (74 nucleotides) under bacterium. RNAcentral's name for it is "tRNA-Gln". It matches the Rfam family "tRNA". From Rfam's summary of the family: Transfer RNA (tRNA) molecules are approximately 80 nucleotides in length. Their secondary structure includes four short double-helical elements and three loops (D, anti-codon, and T loops). Further hydrogen bonds mediate the characteristic L-shaped molecular structure. tRNAs have two regions of fundamental functional importance: the anti-codon, which is responsible for specific mRNA codon recognition, and the 3' end, to which the tRNAs corresponding amino acid is attached (by aminoacyl-tRNA synthetases). tRNAs cope with the degeneracy of the genetic code in two manners: having more than one tRNA (with a specific anti-codon) for a particular amino acid; and 'wobble' base-pairing, i.e. permitting non-standard base-pairing at the 3rd anti-codon position. The record is from RNAcentral. RNAcentral also lists the same sequence under 7 other names.
UGGGGUGUCGUCCAAUGGUAGGACAUGCGGCUCUGGACCGUAGGAUCGGGGUUCGAAUCCCUGCACCCCAGCCA